GCAGGUGGGAUUGGAUAGCGACGAAGGCCGGCAGGCUAGGCGUGGACCCAACUGGCGAGGCUGCUGGGGUUGCAGCGGGACAGUUGGGGCGGCCCCGCAGGCCCAGGUGAACAAAAAUUGUUUGCUGGCCCCCAGGAUACUAACUAGACCUUUGGCCUGACUCACAGGACACUAAGGCUCCUUUUCUGAAGAAGCCUUUUACCAGUCUCAUUUAGGGGAUGGGAACAACAUGUCUUCACCUAGGGACUUUAGAGCAGAGUCUGAUACGCGCAAAAUUGUUUCUGAAGGAGAACUAGAUCAGUUGGCUCAGAUUCGGCCAUUAAUAUUCAAUUUUCAUGAGCAGACAGCCAUCAAGGAUUGUUUGAAAAUCCUUGAGGAAAAAACAGCAGCGUAUGAUAUCAUGCAGGAAUUUAUGGCUUUAGAACUUAAGAAUCUGCCUGGUGAGUUCAACUCUGGGAAUCAACCAAGCAACAGAGAAAAAAACAGAUACCGAGAUAUUCUUCCAUAUGAUUCAACACACGUUCCUCUUGGAAAAAGCAAGGACUACAUCAAUGCUAGUUAUAUUAGAAUAGUCAAUUGUGGAGAAGAGUAUUUUUAUAUCGCUACUCAAGGACCACUGCUGAGCACCAUAGAUGACUUUUGGCAAAUGGUGUUGGAAAAUAAUUCGAAUGUUAUUGCCAUGAUAACCAGAGAGAUAGAAGGUGGAAUUAUCAAAUGCUACCAUUACUGGCCCAUUUCUCUGAAGAAGCCAUUGGAAUUGAAACACUUCCGUGUAUUCCUGGAGAACUACCAGAUACUUCAAUAUUUCAUCAUUCGAAUGUUUCAAGUUGUGGAGAAGUCCACGGGAACUAGUCACUCUGUAAAACAGUUGCAGUUCACCAAGUGGCCAGACCAUGGCACUCCUGCCUCAGCAGAUAGCUUCAUAAAAUAUAUUCGUUAUGCAAGGAAGAGCCACCUUACAGGACCCAUGGUUGUUCACUGCAGUGCCGGCAUAGGCCGGACAGGGGUGUUCCUAUGUGUGGAUGUCGUGUUCUGUGCCAUCGUAAAGAACUGUUCACUGCGGUAAAUAGCCACUAUGGAGACUAAGGACCAGAAGAAACACAGAAAGAAAAACAGUGGACCCAAAGCUGCAAAGAAAAAGAAGUGGCAUCUGCAGGAUCUCCAGCUAGGAGACGAAGAAAAUGCCCAGAAGAGAAAUGCCAAUGCUUUUGCAGUUCAGUCUGCUGUGUGGAUGUCUCGAUCCUUUCACAGGACUCUGGAUUUGAAGACACAAAAGCAUCAUAUUCCAGUGGUUGAUGGAACUCCACUAGAGCUGCCACCAAUACCGGUAGUGGUGACGGGGCCUCCAAAGUUGGAAAGAGCACUUUGAUAUAAUGCCUCAUUCGGAACUUCACCUGGCAGAAGUUCACCGAGAUCAGAGGCCCUGUGACGAUCGUGUCAGGUAAAAAGCGCAGACUCACCAUUAUUGAAUGUGGGUGUGACAUUAACAUGAUGAUUGAUCUGGCUGAAGUAGCAGAUCUGGUACUGAUGCUUAUAGAUGCCAGCUUUGGGUUUGAAAUGGAAAUGUUUGAGUUUCUAAACAUCUGUCAAGCACAUGGCUUUCCUAAAAUUCUGGGAGUUCUCACCCACCUCGACUCCUUCAAGCAUAACAAGCAACUGAAGAAGACAAAGAAGCGAUUAAAACACAGGUUCUGGACAGAAGUUUACCAGGUUGCCAAACUGUUCUACCUUUCUGGAAUGGUGCAUGGAGAAUAUCAAAACCAAGAAAUCCACAAUCUGGGCCAUUUUAUUACAGUUAUGAAGUUUAGGCCUCUCAUGGCAAACUUUUCACCCUUAUAUCCUGGCAGACAGGAUGGAAGAUUUGACAAACCCGGAGGAUAUCCAAACAAACAUCAAAUGUGACCGGCAGGUGUCACUUUAUGGUUAUUUAAGAGGAGCACACUUCAAAGAUAAAAGCCAAAUUCACAUGCCAGGACAAGGUGGGGCUCACCCAUGAGCUGGUCCAGAGUCUCAUCUCCACCUACUCCACCAUUGAUGCCAAGAUGGCUUCAAGUCGAGUGACGCUGCUUUCCAAUUCCAAACCACUUGGGUCAGAGGCUAUAGAUAAUCAAGGCUUUGGAGUUUAACCUUUCUGCCAAUCCAGAGGCAAGCACAAUAUUCCAGAGGAACUCUCAAACAGAUGCUUUGGAGUUUAACCCUUCUGCCAAUCCAGAGGCAAGCACAAUAUUCCAGAGGAACUCUCAAACAGAUGUUGUAGAAAUAAGAAGAAGCAACUGUACAAACCAUGUAUCUACUGAGCGUUUCAGUCAACAAUACAGCUCGUGUUCGACAAUAUUCCUUGAUGACAGCACAGCCAUCCAGCAUUAUCUUACAAUGACAAUAAUAUCUGUGACCUUGGAGAUACCUCAUCAUAUCACACAAAGAGAUGCAGAUAGAUCUUUGAGCAUACCUGAUGAACAGUUACACUCAUUUGCGGUUUCCACCGUGCACAUUAUGAAGAAAAGAAAUGGAGGUGGGAGUUUAAAUAACUAUUCCUCCUCCAUUCCACCGACUCCCAGCACCAGCCAGGAGGACCCUCAGUUCAGUGUUCCUCCCACUGCCAACACACCCACCCCCAUUUGCAAGCGGUCCAUGCGCUGGUCCAACCUGUUUACAUCUGAGAAAGGGAGUGACCCAGACAAAGAGAGGAAAGCCCCGGAGAAUCAUGCUGACACCAUCGGGAGCGGCAGAGCCAUCCCCAUUAAACAGGGCAUGCUCUUAAAGCGAAGUGGGAAAUGGCUGAAGACAUGGAAAAAGAAAUACGUCACCCUGUGUUCCAAUGGCGUGCUCACCUAUUAUUCAAGCUUAGGUGAUUAUAUGAAGAAUAUUCAUAAAAAAGAGAUUGACCUUCGGACAUCUACCAUCAAAGUCCCAGGAAAGUGGCCAUCCCUAGCCACAUCAGCCCGUGCACCCAUCUCCAGCUCUAAAAGCAAUGGCCUAUCCAAGGACAUGGACACCGGGCUGGGUGACUCCAUAUGCUUCAGCCCCAGUAUCUCCAGCACCACCAGCCCCAAGCUCAACCCACCCCCCUCUCCUCAUGCCAAUAAAAAGAAACACCUAAAGAAGAAAAGCACCAACAACUUUAUGAUUGUGUCUGCCACUGGCCAAACGUGGCACUUUGAAGCCACGACGUAUGAGGAGCGGGAUGCCUGGGUCCAAGCCAUCCAGAGCCAGAUCCUGGCCAGCCUGCAGUCAUGCGAGAGCAGUAAAAGCAAGUCCCAGCUGACCAGCCAGAGUGAGGCCAUGGCCCUGCGGUCGAUCCAAAACAUGCGUGGGAACGCCCACUGUGUGGACUGUGAGACCCAGAAUCCUAAGUGGGCCAGUUUGAACUUGGGAGUCCUCAUGUGUAUUGAAUGCUCAGGUAUCCACCGCAGUCUUGGCACCCGCCUUUCCCGUGUGCGAUCUCUGGAGCUGGAUGACUGGCCAGUUGAGCUCAGGAAGGUUAUGUCGUCUAUUGGCAAUGAGCUAGCCAACAGCAUCUGGGAAGGGAGCAGCCAGGGGCAGACAAAACCCUCAAUAAAGUCCACGAGGGAAGAGAAGGAACGGUGGAUCCGUUCCAAAUAUGAGGAGAAGCUCUUUCUGGCCCCACUACCCUGCACUGAGCUGUCUCUGGGCCAGCAGCUGCUGCGGGCCACCGCUGAUGAGGACCUGCAGACAGCCAUCCUGCUGCUGGCACAUGGCUCCCGUGAGGAGGUGAACGAGACCUGUGGGGAGGGAGACGGCUGCACGGCACUCCAUCUGGCCUGCCGCAAGGGGAAUGUGGUCCUGGAGCAGCUCCUGAUCUGGUACGGGGUGGACGUCAUGGCCCGAGAUGCCCACGGGAACACAGCGCUGACCUACGCCCGGCAGGCCUCCAGCCAGGAGUGCAUCAACGUGCUUCUGCAGUACGGCUGCCCCGACGAGUGCGUGUAGUAUCUGUUUUAUUUGACUGCAGUCUCCUUGGUG
This is a long non-coding RNA of Homo sapiens (human), 3984 nucleotides long. NCBI's taxonomy places the organism in Eukaryota, Metazoa, Chordata, Mammalia, Primates, Hominidae. The record is from Ensembl.